GACGAACACUGGCGGCGUGCUUAACACAUGCAAGUCGAACGGAGUGGCGAAAGGGUGAGUAACACGUGGGUGAUCUGCCUUGCACUUCGGGAUAAGCUUGGGAAACUGGGUCUAAUACCGGAUAGUGCAAGAUGAGCUCGCGGCCUAUCAGCUUGUUGGUGGGGUAAUGGCCUACCAAGGCGUCGACGGGUAGCCGGCCUGAGAGGGUGUACGGCCACAUGGGGACUGAGAGACGGACCAGACGCCUACGGGGGGCAGCAGUGGGAAAUAUUGCACAGUGGGCGGAAGCGUGAUGCAUAGGCGCCGGGUGGGGAAUGGAGGCCUUCGGGUUGUAAACUCCUUUCGACAGGGACGCGGUACCUGUAUAAGAAGCACCGGCUAACUACGUGCCAGCAGCCGCGGUAAUAC
Molecule: ribosomal RNA, 408 nt
Filed under: uncultured bacterium
Lineage: Bacteria
Description: partial 16S ribosomal RNA
Rfam family: Bacterial small subunit ribosomal RNA
Source: RNAcentral